Molecule: long non-coding RNA, 926 nt
Filed under: Panax ginseng (ginseng)
Lineage: Eukaryota; Viridiplantae; Streptophyta; Magnoliopsida; Apiales; Araliaceae
Description: long non-coding RNA (PGIN_LNC014683)
Source: RNAcentral
UUCUUUCAUGUCCAGCUAUAUUACCGAACCCCUCUCUUCUUAUUACAAUCUCUUGUAGUUCGUAUAUAGUAAGAAGUAAAGUCAAAGAAGGAUUAUUGAGGGAAUACAGUGGAGCAACCAGGUAAACCAACUUUCAUAUUCUGUAUCUUGUGUUUACAGAACUAGUAAUAGUAAGGAUAAUUAGUAGUUUGAUAAGAAUAGACAGUUGGUUUGGUUAAAUAAUUGUUGCUAUUUGACUGGAACUCGUAUAUGAAUGAUGGGUAAAGUAUAUUAAGUAUAAUUUUAUAUUACUGUCCAUUGAAUGUGAAAAUUAAAAAAAAAUCAAUUUUUAAGAAUAAGGAAACUAGUUAGUUGUUAAAUACUUGAAUAUAUUUGAAGUUGAUUUAUAUAUUGGUUAUGCAUAUUUAUAGCUGAUCAAUGAAUUGUUAUGGCUGGAACAAGAUUAGAGGAGAUAAGUUGGUUGUGCGGAGGCAUAAGAGAGACUAAAUGGGUUUGAAAUUCAAACAAAUAGCCAUGAAAUUGGUAGCUUAGAACAGUGCGCACAAGUUGUUCGAUAAAAGUCCCAAGUGGACUGUUUUGGCUAAAAGUUCCAAGUGGACUCCGCUCCCUCCCCACUGCAAUUUACACGUCGCUGUUCCGGACCUCCGUUAACCGCCCUCAAAUUUUGACCCCCCCUCAAAUUUCGUUCUGGUUCCGCCACUGCAACGAACCAAGUAGAGCGAACAAAAAACAAAUCGGUUAUAACGAUAAUUUUUUCUGUUGCUAUAGAAAUAUAUAUUUUAAGUAUAUAUAAUUACAGGGGCACAGCUGGCAGGUAUUAAUUAGUACAUUUUAAGCUAAAAAUUAAUUAAUUAAUUUUUAUAAAGUUUACAUAAGUGGGGUGGGGGGACGGAAGUGAGCAAUAUAACUGGACUGGGUUGCAUGGG